UACUGGAUGCUUGCGGGCCCGUAUCGGGUACCAACAGCAACCAAACUCCGAAUACCGGUGACGCGUAUCCCGGCAGUGAGUCGGCGGGGGAUAAGCUUCGUCGUCGAAAGGGAAACAGCCCAGACCGUCGUCUAAGGUCCCGAAGCGUGUGCUAAGUGGGAAAGGAUGUGGAGUCGCAUAGACAGCCAGGAGGUUGGCUCAGAAGCAGCCACCCUUGAAAGAGUGCGUAACAGCUCACUGGUCUAGUGGUUCCGCGCCGACAAUGUAGCGGGGCUCAAGCACACCACCGAAGACGCGGCAGUAUUUUGUACUGGGUAGGAGAGCGUCCCAUGAGGGGCGAAGCGGCCGUGUGAACGCGCCGUGGACUUCAUGGGAGUGAGAAUGCAGACAUGAGUAGCGAGAGACGGGUGAAGAUCCCGUCCGCUGGAUGACCAAGGGUUCCAGGGCCACGUUCAUCGUCCCUGGGUGAGUCGGGUCCUAAGGCGAGGCCGACAGGCGUAGUCGAAUGGAUGAACGGGUCGAUAUUCCCGUACCGGCUUUCAGCCGCCAAAACCGAGGCUUGGAGUACUAACCUCCGGGUCCGGGCUUACUGCUCCUUCGGGGGCGGGAUGCCCUGGCCUGUUGGGACCGAUCCUUGUAGUAGGUCAGCGCAGGAGUGACGCAGAAGGGUAGCCGGCCGCGGAGGUGGUCUUCCGUGGUCAAGCACGCAGGGCGUGGGACAGGCAAAUCCGUCCCGCAUGGGUCCGAGGUGCGAUGGUGGGGGCCUUAUGGCCCGAUAUCCGGUGAUCCCGGCUGCCGAGAAAAGCUUCGGCGUCAGGCUCAAAGCCGCCCGUACCCCAAACCGACACUGGUGGUCAGGUAGAGAAUACCAAAGCGAUCGAGCGAAUCCUGGUCAAGGAACUCGGCAAAUCACUCCCGUUCCUUCGGUUUAAGGGAGACCCCCGAUGGUGAACCGCCUCGCGCGGGGAGCUUUUGGGGGUGGCACAGACCAGGGGGUAGCGACUGUUUACCAAAAACACAGGUGCAUGCGAAGGCGCAAGCCGCUGUAUAUGCACUGACGCCUGCCCGGUGCCGGAAGGUUAAGAGGAUCCGUCAGCCUUCGGGUGAAGCGGUGAAUUCAAGCCCCGGUAAACGGCGGUGGUAACUAUAACCAUCCUAAGGUAGCGAAAUUCCUUGUCGGGUAAGUUCCGACCUGCACGAAUGGCGUAACGACUUCCCCACUGUCUCGACCAGGAGCUCGGCGAAAUUGCAGUACGAGUAAAGAUGCUCGUUAAGCGCAGAAGGACGAAAAGACCCCGGGACCUUUACUAUACCUUGGUAUUGGCAUUCGGUGUGGAUUGUGUAGCAUAGGCGGGAGGCCGAGAGGCGCGGUCGCCAGAUCGCGCGGAGCCGUAAGGUGAAAUACCGCUCUGUUCGCAUUGGAUGUCUAACCUCGAACAGUC
RNAcentral lists this ribosomal RNA (1442 nucleotides) under metagenome. RNAcentral describes it as "bacterial LSU rRNA". It matches the Rfam family "Bacterial large subunit ribosomal RNA", at positions 908 to 2237 of the family's 2925-position model. The record is from RNAcentral.